CAGCAGCCACGGGAAUACGAAGGGUGCAAGCGUUAAUCGGAAUUACUGGGCGUAAAGCGUGCGUAGGCGGUUUGUUAAGUCUGUUGUGAAAUCCCCGGGCUCAACCUGGGAAUGGCAAUGGAUACUGGCAAGCUAGAGUGUGUCAGAGGAUGGUGGAAUUUCCGGUGUAGCAGUGAAGUGCGUAGAGAUCGGAAGGAACAUCUGUGGCGAAGGCGACUAUCUGGGCCAACACUGACACUGAGGCACGAAAGCGUGGGGAGCAAACAGGAUUAGAUACCCGCGUAGUCCCUGUCUCUUAUAC
Molecule: ribosomal RNA, 301 nt
Filed under: uncultured bacterium
Lineage: Bacteria
Description: partial 16S ribosomal RNA
Rfam family: Bacterial small subunit ribosomal RNA
Source: RNAcentral